Molecule: ribosomal RNA, 254 nt
Filed under: uncultured Sphingobacteriales bacterium
Lineage: Bacteria; Pseudomonadati; Bacteroidota; Sphingobacteriia; Sphingobacteriales
Description: partial 16S ribosomal RNA
Rfam family: Bacterial small subunit ribosomal RNA
Source: RNAcentral
GCUGGGGGACUCUAAAGGAACUGCCUACGCAAGUAGUGAGGAAGGCGGGGAUGACGUCAAAUCAGCACGGCCCUUACGUCCAGGGCUACACACGUGCUACAAUGGCCGAUACAGAGGGCAGCUACCUGGUGACAGGAUGCAAAUCUCCAAAGUCGGUCUCAGUUCGGAUCGGAGUCUGCAACCCGACUCCGUGAAGUUGGAUUCGCUAGUAAUCGCGCAUCAGCCAUGGCGCGGUGAAUACGUUCCCGGGCCUU